This 250-nucleotide ribosomal RNA is filed under the name uncultured bacterium. RNAcentral describes it as "partial 16S ribosomal RNA". It matches the Rfam family "Bacterial small subunit ribosomal RNA", at positions 355 to 597 of the family's 1533-position model. The record is from RNAcentral.
UGGGGAAUUUUGGACAAUGGGGGAAACCCUGAUCCAGCAAUGCCGCGUGUGUGACGAAGGCCUUCGGGUUGUAAAGCACUUUUGGCGGGAACGAAACGGCGCUUUCUAAUACAGAGCGCUAAUGACGGUACCCGCAGAAUAAGCACCGGCUAACUACGUGCCAGCAGCCGCGGUAAUACGUAGGGUGCAAGCGUUAAUCGGAAUUACUGGGCGUAAAGCGUGCGCAGGCGGUUUCGUAAGACAGAUGUGA